UUCUGGUUGAUCCUGCCAGAGGUUACUGCUAUCGGUGUUCGCCUAAGCCAUGCGAGUCAUAUGUUCUUCGUGAACAUGGCGUACUGCUCAGUAACACGUGGAUAACCUGCCCUUGGGUCCGGCAUAACCCCGGGAAACUGGGGAUAAUUCCGGAUAACGCACAUAUGCUGGAAUGCUUUAUGCGUAAAAUGGAUUCGUCUGCCCAAGGAUGGGUCUGCGGCCUAUCAGGUAGUAGUGGGUGUAAUGUACCUACUAGCCAACAACGGGUACGGGUUGUGAGAGCAAGAGCCCGGAGAUGGAUUCUGAGACAUGAAUCCAGGCCCUACGGGGCGCAGCAGGCGCGAAAACUUUACAAUGCGGGAAACCGUGAUAAGGGGACACCGAGUGCCAGCAUCAUAUGCUGGCUGUCCGGGUGUGUAAAAUACACCCGUUAGCAAGGGCCGGGCAAGACCGGUGCCAGCCGCCGCGGUAACACCGGCGGCCCGAGUGGUGAUCGUGAUUAUUGGGUCUAAAGGGUCCGUAGCCGGUUUGGUCAGUCCUCCGGGAAAUCUGAUGGCUCAACCAUUAGGCUUUCGGGGGAUACUGCCAGGCUUGGAACCGGGAGAGGUAAGAGGUACUACAGGGGUAGGAGUGAAAUCUUGUAAUCCCUGUGGGACCACCUGUGGCGAAGGCGUCUUACCAGAACGGGUUCGACGGUGAGGGGCGAAAGCUGGGGGCACGAACCGGAUUAGAUACCCGGGUAGUCCCAGCCGUAAACGAUGCUCGCUAGGUGUCAGGCAUGGCGCGACCGUGUCUGGUGCCGCAGGGAAGCCGUGAAGCGAGCCACCUGGGAAGUACGGCCGCAAGGCUGAAACUUAAAGGAAUUGGCGGGA
This 872-nucleotide ribosomal RNA is filed under the name uncultured Methanosarcina sp. Its description in RNAcentral is "bacterial SSU rRNA". It matches the Rfam family "Archaeal small subunit ribosomal RNA", at positions 1 to 873 of the family's 1478-position model. The record is from RNAcentral. Lineage: Archaea; Methanobacteriati; Methanobacteriota; Methanomicrobia; Methanosarcinales; Methanosarcinaceae.